UACGUAGGGUGCAAGCGUUAUCCGGAAUUAUUGGGCGUAAAGAGCUCGUAGGCGGUCUGUCGCGUCUGCUGUGAAAACCUAAGGCUCAACCUUGGGCUUGCAGUGGGUACGGGCAGACUAGAGUGCGGUAGGGGUGACUGGAAUUCCUGGUGUAGCGGUGGAAUGCGCAGAUAUCAGGAGGAACACCGAUGGCGAAGGCGGGUCACUGGGCCGCAACUGACGCUGAGGAGCGAAAGCAUGGGGAGCGAACAGG
This 253-nucleotide ribosomal RNA is filed under the name uncultured bacterium. Its description in RNAcentral is "partial 16S ribosomal RNA". It matches the Rfam family "Bacterial small subunit ribosomal RNA", at positions 524 to 776 of the family's 1533-position model. The record is from RNAcentral.